UUGUUUGUGGGUUUGUGUAAAUGCUCGUGGGAGGGGAUCUAAGGUUUCUCUCGAGCUUGGUGGUGGCGGCGUUCGUGGUUGUUUUUGGACCGAUGUUAGGUUUUGUGGUUAGACGGAAAUGGAGGCGUUCGGUGGCGAGGAGGGAGGAGAUCAAGAGGUUGUUGGUUUUGGCUUCGGAGAAGGCAGCUAGGGUUGAGCUACAAGCCGCUGAGGAAUAUGGGUAUGAUUAUGGGUAUAGUAUGAGUCGCUGAAG
This 253-nucleotide long non-coding RNA is filed under the name Solanum tuberosum (potato). RNAcentral's name for it is "long non-coding RNA (STUB_LNC005705)". Lineage: Eukaryota; Viridiplantae; Streptophyta; Magnoliopsida; Solanales; Solanaceae. The record is from RNAcentral.